CCUACGGGAGGCAGCAGUAGGGAAUAUUGCUCAAUGGGGGAAACCCUGAAGCAGCAACGCCGCGUGGAGGAUGAAGGUUUUCGGAUUGUAAACUCCUUUUGUUAGAGAAGAUAAUGACGGUAUCUAACGAAUAAGCACCGGCUAACUCCGUGCCAGCAGCCGCGGUAAUACGGAGGGUGCAAGCGUUACUCGGAAUCACUGGGCGUAAAGAGCGCGGAGGCGGGAUAGCCAGUCAGAUGUGAAAUCCUAUGGCUUAACCAUAGAACUGCAUUUGAAACUGUUAUUCUAGAGUAUGGGAGAGGUAGGUGGAAUUCUUGGUGUAGGGGUAAAAUCCGUAGAGAUCAAGAGGAAUACUCAUUGCGAAGGCGACCUGCUAGAACAUAACUGACGCUGAUGCGCGAAAGCGUGGGGAGCGAACAGGAUUAGAUACCCUUGUAGUC
RNAcentral lists this ribosomal RNA (440 nucleotides) under uncultured bacterium. RNAcentral describes it as "partial 16S ribosomal RNA". It matches the Rfam family "Bacterial small subunit ribosomal RNA", at positions 338 to 795 of the family's 1533-position model. The record is from RNAcentral.